AUUCUUUUCACCUAUUUCAUUGAUUUAUUAAUUUUUUGUCCACAAAGGGGGUAAUAAACAUCCAGUAGCUUGUUUUAACUUGCAACAAGCACAUGUUGAGCGAGUACACAUUGUCCAGGAAAAACUUGUUCAGUCACUUGCACCUAAUCAAGAAGCAGAACUAAAUUUAACAAAACAAAAUGGAGUAGAGAGCAAGGAUAGGUUGAGACUUUCACUGGCAGGCAGACCAAAGAGGGCUUUGGAACAGUUUCAGAAACUUUCCAUUAAGAAACAACAGCAAGUAUAGAAAGUUUGUUCACCAACAUCUUUUAAAAGCAUCAUUGUAAAAACAGAUAGCCAUCAUAAAUAAUGAGGACAGGCUUGCGCAAAGGGAAAUUUAAGCAAAAAUUCUCACACCAAACAUUGCUGUGUGGAAACACAGGCAAAACAUUCAAGAAUAUUUCACUGUUACAAACUUCCAGCAAACGUGAUUUAGCAGCAGAGUAACUGUCUCAUGGUGGCUGGGAGCUGCUGCCAGACAUUCGGAUGUGCUGUGGAUGCUAAAAGACUACUUAGAGGUUCAAAGGGCGAGUGUACAAACGCGGGGCAGCAAAGUCCAAGGAGGUCUGUUUGCCACUGGCUUCCCAGAGGAAGACUGGACUCAUCUUGUCACCACUGGACCCUCCUAUAGGAUCAUCUCUACUCCAACAGAACCACAUCUGUCACUCCAGGAGGACUUCUUUUGGACUGCUUCCAACACCCUAGCCAACAGGAUGUCAGAUGUUCUAAUGGAAGAGAACUGUGGAUAGGAGUGCAAGACAUCCUCUGCAAAGAAGCACUUUCGCUAAAUCUUGCUGAUGUGAAUUAUAGACAUGAUCAACAUUCUUCUAAUCCUAUUUUUGGCAUCCGCGAACAAAGUACCAACUGCAAAUGGCAAAUGUGUCGGCAAGUCCUUCUUGUAUGGAUAUUGCUUUGAACAGCCACACUGACUUUGGAGAAGCGAAUAAGCUUGUUUUUUCCUCUGGAUGGCCAGCCACACAGCAAGCAGUCCCAGUACUGCAGAGUUCACAUUAAAAGAACAUGAAGAUGAGAAGACAAGAAGAUAAGCAAAGAAACACCUUCAUGGAAGGAUGAUUUGAAAGUUGUUGGAGCUUGACCAGUAAUGACAUCUACCGAAUGUCUGCUUAUUGAUCUACUCUACUAAAUAAAUUCAUUUAGUUUGUUUAGGAUAGAGUUUGUUUUGCAAGUAGUUACUGACUUGUAGACAUAUUGGGGGAGAGGGAGGUGGGGAGCAGGGUUGGAGGAGAAAUGGUGAAAUUUCUGGACAGAUCUGAAAUGUGAAAACUCAAAAUACAACUUUAAAUGUCCCUUCUUCCAUACAGGCCCUGUUUUCUGAAAAGUGCCAUCAUCCUUAAAUGGGACUCUCAUGUUAAUGUGGAGAUACGUGCUUUCAGUAUAGUUGAACUGUGGUUUGGCAAUCAAAACAUGUCCAGUAAAAGAUACAUUGAAGAUGUUGCUUGAAAAAGACAUGUCCAGGGCUUUUGUCACUUCACUGUCAUCACACACAAAAUUGACACCAGCUGUGGACAUACAUACAUAGGUUUAUACAUACUCGAAGUACACUGAAACAGCUACAAAACCACACCAUGGCCACCUUUCUUGAUUCUAGUGACCAUCUGCGCACCAGAAUCAAGAAACAUCUUUGUUUUUUAACAACUUUCAACUGGAAAUAUUUUAUCAACCUUUAAAAAGUAUAUUUUUCCACUAUGGGAGCAGUCUAAAAUGGGGAUAAAAUUAAUUAGUCUGAAAAGAUCUCAUGCAGCCACUCUCUCCAUACUUUUGCUGGGUGCCCAAGCUGCAAAUGUUGUAAUGCCCAUAAAGUUAGAAUAAAUAAAUUGGUCCUCUGAAGAAA
Long non-coding RNA from Prinia subflava (tawny-flanked prinia), 1891 nucleotides. RefSeq lists it as uncharacterized. The record is from RefSeq and is a predicted model, not a curated record. NCBI's taxonomy places the organism in Eukaryota, Metazoa, Chordata, Aves, Passeriformes, Cisticolidae. The transcript has 6 exons.